AUUUAAAUAGUUUAAUAAAAAUAUAAGUUUGUGGUUCUUAAGAUAAUUUUUUAUUUUUAAAUA
This 63-nucleotide transfer RNA is filed under the name Oncopodura yosiiana. RNAcentral describes it as "tRNA-His". The record is from RNAcentral. Lineage: Eukaryota; Metazoa; Arthropoda; Collembola; Entomobryomorpha; Oncopoduridae.